Molecule: ribosomal RNA, 497 nt
Filed under: uncultured bacterium
Lineage: Bacteria
Description: partial 16S ribosomal RNA
Rfam family: Bacterial small subunit ribosomal RNA
Source: RNAcentral
GAUGAACGCUGGCGGCGUGCCUAAUACAUGCAAGUCGAGCGAACAGACGAUGAUCUUGCUCCUCUGACGUUAGCGGCGGACGGGUGAGUAACACGUGUAUAACCUACCUAUAAGACUGGGAUAACUUCGGGAAACCGGAGCUAAUACCGUAUAAUAUAUUGAACCGCAUGGUUCAAUAGUGAAAGACGGUUUUGCUGUCACUUAUAGAUGGAUCCGCGCGGUAUUAGCUAGUUGGUAAGGUAACGGCUUACCAAGGCAACGAUGCGUAGCCGACCUGAGAGGGUGAUCGGCCACACUGGAACUGAGCCACGGUCCAGACUACUAAGGGAGGCAGCAGUAGGGAAUCUUCGGCAAUGGGCGAAAGCUUGACGGAGCAACGCCGCGUGAGUGAUGAAGGUCUUCGGAUCGUAAAACUCUGUUAUUAGGGAAGAACAAAUGUGUAAGUAACUAUGCACGUCUUGACGGUAACUAAUCAGAAAGCCCCGGCUAACUACGUG